AAGGCCAGCAUAGACCAAUGAAAUUUUUUUCUCCAGGAUAGCUACAGAUGGCCUGUGGCUCCUAUUACAUCACUUUCCUUUCCCACAUGUUUUCAUAGCGACUCCUUCCUUUGCUGACACUUUUCUACUAUCUGAGACCUUACUGGAAUCCCAAGGAGAAAGGCCAAAAGUCACUAUUAUUAGAAGGGUGGAUUAAUUACUGUGAAUUAAGGGCUAGAUUUUCAAAACUGACUAAUGAUUUUGGGUGCCCAACCUGAGACACCUCAAAAGGGCCUGAUUUCCAGAGGGUGAGUGGCUCACACACCCUGAAAAUCAGACCUCUUUCAGGUGUCCAUUUGGGCCCUCAAAAAUCCAGGCACUGGAAAUGAGUAGUCACUUUUGAAAAUGUAGGCCUUAGCCCUUGUUUCUGUUCAUGAACAGAUCCUAAGGUCCAAGAACACAGUAGUUAUUUAUAAAUAUUCCCCAGAUCGUUUGGAGGAACAAUUUUCAGCUCACUAACUCCAUUUGCUAAUCUUUAUUCAUGUACUAUUAUUUCUGUUCCUUGAUUAGAUGACAAACUCUUUAAACUAGAGAACAUCAAAUACUGCACUUUCUGCAAUUAAGUUUUUGAAGAACAGCUUGUGCUAAAACUCAAGAAACUUUGAGGAUCUGUGAACAUUUUCACCAAUCCCCACUGCUUUUCCCAGAUACAUGCAAAUAAUAAACACUGAUUCUAAUUUAACUGUCUAAAACUGUGCACAAGUUGUGGCUGAAAGCACAUUAGCAUCAACAGUCUUUAGCAGGGCACCAACACUGUUUCCCUAGCUGAUGUGCAUGAAGUUAUCAUCCUGAGAUCCAUGCUACAGUCUAACCCCACUGGCACACAGGUAGGAUAUAGCACAGUUUAGUAAUGGAGUCUCCAGGGGAAAAACACCACAGCUGUCCAUGAUGCACUGGGGAAGCUGAGCUGGCAUGUGUUCAAUGCGUCAGCUGUGGUGCAGACAGGCCCUAAUAGAGAUGGAGUCCAUAAGUCCAACAAGGCCCGAAUGUGCUCCAGAUAAUGAGCUGCACAUCACCCAGCUCUCCACUCUUGCUCAUUUAAGCAGAGAACCUCUGAGAUUCCACUUUGAGCAAGCGAGGGAAAGUAGCUGAGCGAGUCUGCUUAGAUCUAUUUUUAUAUACCUUCUCCAUCUGUUCCUCUCCACAGCUGGCAGAGCCUGGGACUGCAGUGUUAGCUCUUCAUAACAAAAGCUUCCUUAUGAAACAUGGGGCACUCCUCUCUCCCCACCGGGUUUGGUUGCUGGGGCAAUCUAUUUUGGGAGACACAGAUGGCAUGCCCAUCUUCUCACCGAGCAGCAGAGAAGAAUAAGCAAAUGCUAGCCAGUGAUAAAUGCUCAGCCAAAUACAACAUUGGCACCACAUCAAGGGUCUGACAAACCCACAGAACCCAGGGAGGGAGUUCAUGGCUUGGGCUGACACACAGGUCCCAUCAAGGGGAAUGGGAUUCAUGGGUGAGUCUGAGUUACUGGACAGUUUUCACUAGCAUAAAGGCUUUUGAAAGGCAUAAAGACAUAGCAGAGAGCUCCCUGCCAUGGUACCUUCAUAGCACAGAGCUGUAUGUCUCAGCUCUAUCCUGUCUGGUAUUUGAUUGUGCUGAUUCUAUGUCCUGUGUUUAUUUUUCUUGUGCAUAUAUCCAUGCGGGGGGUGAAGGGACCAGGUUUGACCUGCUGGAAAGCCAUUGCAUCCCUAACUGCAGCACUGACCAAAAAAUCAAUGAAGAACUACAUGAGGCAGCUUCCACCUACCUUAGGAUGCGCAGAAGCAAGGGGAAGUCAAAGGCUGUGGAUCUUGAAAGGAAACAGGUUCCUGUGCAUCUCAUCUUGAAGGCGAUGUCAGCAGCUGUGUCUAUUCAGAGAGAAAAACAGGGACACACAUUUUAAACACUGAGAUAUCUGACACACGGAGCAUCGGACCAAAUGGAAAAACAGCAAAUGCAUUGCUAAACAGCUAGGGAUCUCCCUUCUUAGACAGGCAGAACAUGGCUGUACUGGGGGCAGAGUUGCACUUCUAUCAGGGCCUGAUUCAUAAAAAGGCCUUAAUGUAAAUGAGAUCCAGGCCCUCAACAUUUAGCCUUGCUGGUUCUGAGCUAUCUGCAUUUUACAGACCUGCAGGCCCAAAGGCCAGAGCAGCUUGACCCGGGGUUUGAAGGGAAGAGAAGGUUAAUCUGUCAUUACAAGGGUUCCAUGCUGAAUACACCAUUUUCCAGAGUGAGAGGUGAAUCGAAGAGCCCUAUGGGUGGAAAUGAAACAGAAGGUGAUAUCAACAUGCCGACACCGCAUCUCACACUUGAGUGGUACAGUGAAAUCUUACUGUGAGAUUGUUUCUGAUGGUCAUCAAGAAGGCCAUGCAACAUUAAUAUCGUGGGAGGUGCAAUCAUCCUGGAGAUCUCUGAUAACACAGGUUUCCAUUGAUACAGCAAAUCCACACAUCAGGAAAACACAAGAUCAAUCUCCAAUGGCAAGCAUUUCUAUCUGGGUUCAUGUUUGUGGGCACACCCAAGUGACCCAGAGCAUCAUCCAAGUUUGCUCCUGAUUCACAGUGCUGGUUCAAACUUUUCAAUUCUGCCAGAAACAUCUACGGACUUUACAAAUUGCUUAUUCUGUGGAUGGAACCAGAAGUAUUUUCAUUGGGACAGCGGUAUUGGAGACAAAUGUCUUCAUGAGUUAGCUGCAAUCACCAUACAACUCUUCUUCUUUGGCCUUAGUGGUACUGUAAGUACACACAACAGUCCACAAAUUCACUUAUGGCUCAAAAGGGAUAACACAAUUAACAUCAAGAAACUGCUCCAGUAUUUCAUUAUAUGAUUCCCAGCCCUCUUUAUAAAGAUCCAUAUGUAUCAGAACCCCAGCCACCAUGUGUAGGAUCAGACAGAUUAGGCACACUCUUACUUAUGCCAAUAUUUAACAGAAGAGGGGAUGUGGCAGGAAUUCAUCCAAAAGCUAGCAAGUCUUAAAGCUACAAUUCAUGCUGCUUUCUAUGAGCCAAGUUUUCCAAAUGACUGAACGAUUUAAUAUCAGUGGUGUCCAUUGUGCAGCAAGGGAAGGGCUGUUUGGAAGGAAUGAAGGCAGGAAGCAAUAAUGGAGGAGUUUUGUUUAAUCCUCAGAGUUGCUGAGCACCUGCUACUUUCAAUAAUUCCGAGGACUGAACUCAGCCACAGGGGCUGGAGGGUCUCCACCCCACCAGCUUUCAGACCACUGAGAAAACUAUUGGUUUGUUCAUUAGUUUCUGUUUAUGGCUCAGUUUUAAAGGCAGAAUCAGCACAGAGUCGAAGCAACCUUCUCCAUCCAGGAUCAGCAGCAAGACACAUGCACACACCAAAUGCAGUGCCUCUCUCCUACAGAAGGCAGCUUCAGCACCUACCACAGCUCAGUCCUUUAACAUGCCUCUGAAAUAGGCAUUUAAAGUUAAACAGAAUACAUUGCUAAGCAGAACAUUCUGCCAAGUCCUGCCACCAGGACUGCAUGUUAUAGGGCACUUGCCAACUCCUUAGUCAAUUUUAUUUAUUAUAGUCUAGGAAAGGUCACAAAGAAUCUCAAAAGAUAAAAAUCUCUGUCUGUCAGGCUGCCUUCCUUAUUUUCAUUGGCCCAGGCCUCUGCGUUCCACACUAACAAUAACAGGAUACAGGUUCAAGAGGCACCAUCAGCGCAGCUCACACUUAAAUGGUCUGAGUUUAUUUUUCAUUCCUUGUAUAGCUGAUCCUUACUGCUCAAUUCUCUGUUCAUUAGAUUUCUCUUGGAUAAGAUUACUGUAAAGUAUAAGAGCCUGACGCCACCCUAAAACCCAAACACAGACACAUUAGACAUUUGCAGCCCAGUGAGUGCCAGUUCCCUUCCAAAGGAUGCAGCUUCAAGUCCUUAGUCCAGAUGUAAACUCACCUGUCUGGGGCAUCCUUAGUCCAGAUGUAAACUCACCCGUCUGGAGUAUCCUCAGCUCUCACAGGGACAUUUUGCACUGCAGUUCCCAUGUCCAUACUUUUCUGAAGUUGCAGGACCAUUUUGGUGUCUCUAUCCCUUACCCUCUGUCCCUCAGAACCAUCCUAGCUGAUACCAACCGCUCCACUUGGCUAAGAACACCUCUUGCAAGGUACCUGAAAUCAUCGUAAUGCUCUCCUGGAUUCUGAGCAGAAGCUUCCUGUCUCUCUGCAGGAUCUUACCAGGGACAGUUCCUACCAUGUAGGAUCAAGGUGCCAACUUGGCUGGCACUGCGCACUGCAGCCCUCCGAUCCCAUCCUGCUCCUGUUGUGGAUUUCAAACUCAGUCUGUCAUGGCUUUAAAAGGAAGAGUUGCUUCCCUGUAGCACCAAAGUGCUGAGUUUGCUUCCCUUACAGGCAUGUGAGGCUUUCCCCUCAGCUGCAUAUUUAAACUGGGAUUUUCAAAGAAGCAUAAGGGAGUUAGGCAUGAAGGUCAAUAGGAGCAGUAUGUGCUCAACUCCCGUAAACUCUCCUUUGAAAAUCCCACCCCCCCAUUUUAUGAGGAGAGAACAUUAAUCUCAGAUAUUUUAAGUGCCCAUCAUAGCACACACAUUGUCCUCAGGGGAGUCAAAGAAGGGAUGGGAGGAAAUACAGUCCUCUAACUACUCAUUAUUGGUAUGUCUACAACCCAAAUUAAGGUGUAAUUGAGGAUGCUUUCAUCUCACUAGUGUAACAAUAGCAGUGAAGACACAGUGGCGCAGUCUGUGACAGGUCAGCAACCCACGUAUGGACCCAGGUUUAAUCCUCACUCCAGAGCAGGGACUUGAACUCAGAGCUUCCCCCCACCCCAGCGAGAAGGCUACAGGCUAGUCUGGAGUGUAUUGCUCUCAAUCUUUCUUGUUGAAGCUGUUCCACUUUGUAUAAAUACUUAACUGUUCAUUGGGCUAGAGCAAGCGAGCAUGACUAUAGCCUGGUGUUUAAAGCACUAACCUGAGAGCUAGGAGAUGUGGAUUCAAAUCCCUCCUCUGAACCAGGCAGAUAGAGCAGCCCACCCCAGAACAGCCAGUCACCUGUGGGUUAGGAUGCUCAUCUGGGAGGAGGGACGAUUGGGUUCAAGCCCCUGCUCCAGAGUGGGGAUUCAAACCUCUGUCUCCCACAUCCCAGGCAGGUGCCCUAACCAUUCUGCUAAAGCCUCCAAAGGGACAGACGCAUGCACACACGCAUGGACAGACGGUUUGCUGGCCUGGAAAAAGUUUUUCCCAACCAAAACUAAUCAGGUCAAAUUCAUGAAUAGUUUCAGGUCGAUUGAAACAGCAUUUUUCAGCGAUUAAGCUACGUGACUGAAAAAUUUCAUCCAUUUCUCAUGCUGAACCCCUUCACCUGCCACAGACUUCAGUCUGAAAUCAGGGGGAGCUGAGUGGACUCUGGACUUUUAUGAGUUCAGUCCCUAAGAGAACUACCAAUGGGCUCCUAGACCAGGGAGGAACCAGGUAGGGAAAUUGCAUUAGUGAUAGCUUUAGGAUGCUGGCUGUUGGCUAAUACCAGCACCACCACCAUGGGCACAUAGACAUUGGGGAUGGAAAAAACACUCAAGAUCAUCUUGCCUCCCCAUUCAAAGGGCAGGUCAUCGUCUCUCACAAAGCAGGUAACAUAUUAAACUGUUACUGGGGUAGAUCUCAGCCCGGGACUGCAAUGAAAGCAAUGUGAAGUCCUUUUGUUUUCUGCCUUUGCCUAUGCUGCUUUGGAUGAACGAGCCAAGCUGUGGGUCUUGAAGGUUAGAUUUCCUGAGCAAGCCAAUUGUGUUUUAAACUGGGUGCUCUCUUUGUUCUCCCAAGGACUCAGCUUUCUUCCUGCAGGACACAUACUGCCAUUGUUCCUCCAGGUACUCCCACUGUACUUGGGCAGGUUCCCAUUGUUCCUCCAGGUACUCCCGCUGUACUCCAGCAGACUCCCAUUGUUCCGCCAAGCUCUCUCUCUCUGAUGCUUCAGAACAAAACACAGUGUUUGUGAAAAACAUUUUCAAUUUCACCCUUGACUGAGCAGGUCAGGCCUUGCUUGCCCUGAGUCCACAGGGACACCAGCUCACUUCAUCACCUCCUGCUACCUGAUGUUAUGGAUCAUAUUCACUUUCACUAAGCUCCCCUUCCUGGCUGCCAGCGGAGGGGAUGUGGACACAGUUCUUUCUGCAGCCUGUCAAUGCUGUCCCACACCAGCCUGAGAGGCAGAAGAGGGCUCACUCCCUCCCUAGAAUUCCCAGCACUAGCAAAGGGCCAGGACUGGAGAGGCAAGGAUGGUGCAGAUCAGGAUUGAGGUGCAUUGACACAGCCAUAUGGGGAUCCAGCAAUGGAAUAGCAAGGGCACUGCAGGCCGGAGGUCCAGGGUGCAUUGAGGUACACUGAUAAAAGUAGGGGCACCCAGCCAGACGGGAAGUGAGCGCUAAAGUCACAGCUGGCAGGGUUGUAUAAUGGUCGAGGUGGUUUCCCCACUCAGAUGUCUGGCUAUUUAACAACUUGCCAUAUGCCAUGACAAGACCUUGAACCUUGGCCAAACCACAGUGUGCCACUCAGGCAGACAAUGUACAGAUAUUACAUAGCACAUUAAUGUUAUUCCUCUCGGUGCCAGGAUAACAGAUCCCAGUGAACCAGGGAUGCAAAGGGCUUCUAGCCUCUGUCUGGGUUUGUCAUCUUGGAGCAUGUUAAUACUUUAAGGGAAAGUCUAACAGAAGGAGUCGGAGAUGGGAAGAGGGCAGAGGAAACACUCUUCCAGGAUGAGCCCAGCAGAAAUGCUCACAAUAAUACAUAGUUAAACAAAACCAGAGGGCGGGCCAGCUUCUGCAGCCCAGGACACAAAGGCACUCACACGCCUUUAGAAAUAUAUUUUAUUAUUUUAAUGCUCAUUUUAAAAAAAUGUAACCAAGACAUUACACUGAGCAGCAUCACCAGCAGCAGGCUCCUCAGUUCCCGGCUGUCUGAUGACUCAUCACAUUCUAAACCAUUGGUCGAUGCACUUAAAAUAUAAUUACAUGGACAGAAACAACCCCCUCUUCUCCCACUCCUAAGCGAUAGACAUUGAUAGAGGGAAAGGGGAAGCAGCCAAUACAUCAUUUAAAUUAAAAGGGUAAGAGAUACCACAUAUGCCACUGGGGGUUUGGGUCCCCUUGCCCCACGGGUCAGUGGGAAAAUGUAAUACAAGAUGGAGACGAUGGCUCUGAGAAGCAGAGGAAAGAGGAAAAAUUCUCCUUUGAGUGGGAAGGAGGCAAGGAGUGAAUGCAACAGUUGCUCUGGGAUAAAAAGGAUCCAGUCCUGAUUUUGGUACACUGUGGCUUGAACUAACCUAGCUUCCAAAGUAAGGCUGGGAGCUACAAGAAACAGAUUCAGGCCUGAUUCUUGCAUUCUAAGCAUUUAGGGCCCAGAUUAUCUUCUCACACCAAUUUCCCACUGGUGAAACUUCAUUUUAGUUACUCCUGAUUCAUGCUGGUGAAAGGAAGAUCAAAAUCAGACCUUUGACCUCUUCCACUCAGCACUGGAGCAAGGUGCCAGGGAUCGGUAACUAUUGAGAGGAUUGAUCUUUAGGCAGCUUCCUUAUCAAAGAACAAUGGAGUAUUCUACAGCUGUGAUGCCACAACCCGCUCUGUAGCAUUGCUGUUAUUUGGUUAGCCAUUCCUGUAGAAUAUCGUUAGGUUAUUUAUUUAUUUUUAAAUAAGGGCUCAUCAGAUGCAGAUCAAGAAGAAAGGCCUUUGCUACAUCUGGACGUUCUAAGAAGAUGAGCAGCUUCUGUGAAGGGGGAGUCCCCCAAAAAUCUGUUCUGCCUCAGCCACAUAAUGACCAGGUGGGAACAAUCAGCUACACCUGCUUUGGGAAAUCAAGCAUAAAUAUAGAAAGCAUGGGUUAUCCAGAAUAGCCAUGCCACCUGUGUGUGCCCCCGGAACCCACAAUGCAUCUCCCCAAAUCUUCCAGCGUGUUCCUGCCCCCUGAAUGCCCCAGAACCCUCCAGCACACUUCUGCCCUCACCCCGAGCUCUCCAAAAUCUCCCUAAACACAAGCAUUCACUCACUGACCAGCACAAAUUACAAAUUCAUUGGUAAACACUCAUUGUCUGAAAUAGCUCUUCCUGUUUCUUUCCACCAAUUUUCAAGGGUCAUCUGUCAUUGAAACAUCUUGGUCUUGUCGAUACAUAGCUUUCUGCUAUUUAACUCUGCAAUUGUACUAUUCACACAGUCCGUCUGAACCAUGCUAUACAGAAUAAAGUUGUGACGCAUUGUGCACACAAAACCAGACAGCACGCUAUCAAGCAAAAGGCCCUAAGAAUGGCUCUUGAUAAAGUCAAUCCUCGCAACCAGCCAGAACCUCGUCUAAAACUGUGCAAGGCAAAUAAACCCUGGAAUUUGCUAGUCUCUUGGGAAUGAUGAAAUUCAUGGAAUCUUCCUCACACAGAAUCAGACACUAGAUAGCUCUCUCUGUGGGGAGAGGGACAUUUUUAGAAGAAUAGUUUCACUGAACUGGAACAGACUCCUGCUAGGCCCUCCCUCCUUCCCAUUGGCCCAGUCCCCUGCAUCUUGGCUUCCCUAAGAGUUAUUCUUCUCCUGCUCCUUCUCUGAUUGCCACCUCUAUGCUUCCCCACCCCAGGUUCCUUCUCUUCUUCAGAACAGCUGUGUUUCAUCAGCUAACCAUUCUCCACUUCAAAGGAAGUGAGGAGAAUGUGGGAGGGGGAGAAGCACAGCAUCUUUGACCUUUGUAUUGACCACUGAUUUUUGAAGUUGAGAGAAGAGUGGUAUAACAGAUAGAUAGCUGAAAAGGACAGAUAGAAGAGUCAGGAGAAAAACAUAUACUUUGCACAGAGCUCCUCUUCUCUGGCUCUCCUCAGACUCUCAGCCUAAACAGCCAUCAGAUUACGAUGGUAAUGCCCAGUGUUGCCAAUCACAAUCAAAUAAAGAGCCUCACAAUGUGUGAUGGUUUUGCUACAGCCUCAGCUCCUGGAGUCACAUUCUCACAUUAAAAUCUGUGUUUCUAAUUCACAAAUAUGGAGACAAACCUGAAAA
Dermochelys coriacea (leatherback sea turtle) is the source of this 8987-nucleotide long non-coding RNA. RefSeq lists it as uncharacterized. The record is from RefSeq and is a predicted model, not a curated record. The transcript has 2 exons. Lineage: Eukaryota; Metazoa; Chordata; Testudines; Dermochelyidae.